This 253-nucleotide ribosomal RNA is filed under the name uncultured bacterium. Its description in RNAcentral is "partial 16S ribosomal RNA". It matches the Rfam family "Bacterial small subunit ribosomal RNA", at positions 524 to 776 of the family's 1533-position model. The record is from RNAcentral.
UACGGGGGGGGCAAGCGUUGUUCGGAAUUACUGGGCGUAAAGGGUCUGUAGGUGGCUUGCUAAGUCAGACGUGAAAGCCCUGGGCUCAACCUGGGAAUUGCAGUGGAUACUGGCAAGCUAGAGUGCGGUAGAGGAUGGUGGAAUUCCCGGUGUAGCGGUGAAAUGCGUAGAGAUCGGGAGGAACACCCGUGGCGAAGGCGGCCAUCUGGACCAGCACUGACGCUGAGGCACGAAAGCGUGGGGAGCAAACAGG